Long non-coding RNA from Hirundo rustica (Barn swallow), 466 nucleotides. RefSeq lists it as uncharacterized. Lineage: Eukaryota; Metazoa; Chordata; Aves; Passeriformes; Hirundinidae. The record is from RefSeq and is a predicted model, not a curated record. The transcript has 3 exons.
CUCCAAACUGGUAAGCUGGAGUUGUACCACAGAGAUUUAUCUCUUGCAGUUUAUCUCUUAGCAUUGGGUUCCUGUCUAUGAAGAGCUGAUGAUCCCCUGAGCUGUUGAGUCGCCAAAGCACCUCGCCCAGGACCAGGCUCUCCCUCCCUCAUGGCCGGAGUGGAAAAGCACGUUUAAAUCCCGAACUCGGCUUCCCCACGUGGUGUCUCGCUGAGCUGCUGUCACAGCCACGCCGCGCUCUCACGGGGCACCGGAGCUUCUCCUCUGCCCUGCCGGGAAGGCACAAGGAGGCAGCCUUCAUCGAGUGAAUAGAGCAAAUCUUGGCAAAAGGAGCACCGAAGGAUGUGAACCCCUUGGAAAAUUCCACUUCCUGCCCAGCACUGCGUGUCCUUGGGUCUCUCACUCAUUCCCAUGCACUUAACGAGGGAUUUCUGCCUCAGGCUACCACACCAACUUUCUAAAUAAA